UGGUCUUUGAUGAAUAGCCCACUGCGCAAUCUGAAUUCUAUGAAACUGAAUGAUAGAAUUUGUGCUAAUCAAGGCAACUGAGACUA
RNAcentral lists this small nucleolar RNA (86 nucleotides) under Pogona vitticeps (central bearded dragon). RNAcentral's name for it is "small Cajal body-specific RNA 18 (ENSPVIG00000023721.1)". It matches the Rfam family "small Cajal body-specific RNA 18". From Rfam's summary of the family: scaRNAs are a specific class of small nuclear RNAs which localise to the Cajal bodies and guide the modification of RNA polymerase II transcribed spliceosomal RNAs U1, U2, U4, U5 and U12. This C/D box domain U91 (also known as U4-8) was identified by Darzacq and is predicted to guide the 2'O-ribose methylation of U4 snRNA C8. Both the doublet (U12-22/U4-8) and singlet (U4-8) forms of this snRNA have been purified from Hela cells. Lineage: Eukaryota; Metazoa; Chordata; Lepidosauria; Squamata; Agamidae. The record is from Rfam by way of RNAcentral.